AUUGAACGCUGGCGGCAUGCCUUACACAUGCAAGUCGAACGGCAGCACGGGAGCAAUCCUGGUGGCGAGUGGCGAACGGGUGAGUAAUAUAUCGGAACGUGCCCAGUCGUGGGGAUAACGUAGCGAAAGCUACGCUAAUACCGCAUACGAUCCAUGGAUGAAAGCGGGGGAUCGCAAGACCUCGCGCGAUUGGAGCGGCCGAUAUCAGAUUAGGUAGUUGGUGAGGUAAAGGCUCACCAAGCCGACGAUCUGUAGCUGGUCUGAGAGGACGACCAGCCACACUGGGACUGAGACACGGCCCAGACUCCUACGGGAGGCAGCAGUGGGGAAUUUUGGACAAUGGGCGCAAGCCUGAUCCAGCAAUGCCGCGUGCAGGAUGAA
This 381-nucleotide ribosomal RNA is filed under the name uncultured bacterium. RNAcentral describes it as "bacterial SSU rRNA". It matches the Rfam family "Bacterial small subunit ribosomal RNA", at positions 30 to 412 of the family's 1533-position model. The record is from RNAcentral.